RNAcentral lists this transfer RNA (77 nucleotides) under bacterium. RNAcentral describes it as "tRNA-Arg". It matches the Rfam family "tRNA". Rfam says of the family: Transfer RNA (tRNA) molecules are approximately 80 nucleotides in length. Their secondary structure includes four short double-helical elements and three loops (D, anti-codon, and T loops). The record is from RNAcentral.
GCGCCCGUAGCUCAGUUGGAUAGAGCAACGGACUUCUAAUCCGUAGGCCAUAGGUUCAAAUCCUAUCGAGAGUACUA